GUACAAUCAACUGAGGAAGGAGAUGAAGAAGAGCGGAGUCAGGAUAGACAUCAUCAGCCAGCUGCCGAGGAAGCAAGACAUGUAGAAAAUGAGGUCCGAACCAAGGAGUCAUCUUUGAGUCUGAGUUUGGCCUCACCCCAUUGGACCCUUCCCUCUUCUGUAGCCACAUCUACCUACCAUCUGCAUUCAUGGCUGCUCACUGCUCAGCUGGAUACUACAGCAGUCACCAAAUGGAAAGAUGACUGCUGGGUCCUGGCCUCCUCUGGCCAGUCUGCUGCCUCAGGGACCGUUCAGAGAGCCACAUCCUCCUAAGUCCUCCAAAGGACUCUGACUCAGCAGGGACCAAGUGAAGCAAAGGAUGUGGG
Molecule: long non-coding RNA, 365 nt
Organism: Peromyscus leucopus (white-footed mouse)
Lineage: Eukaryota; Metazoa; Chordata; Mammalia; Rodentia; Cricetidae
Exons: 3
Source: RefSeq, a predicted model, not a curated record